GGUGGUAGUAGCUCAGCAGGUAGAGUGUGUUUUCUGGUAACCGGAAGGUCGCUGGUUCAAUCCCCGGCUCCUCCUA
Molecule: non-coding RNA, 76 nt
Organism: Merluccius polli (Benguela hake)
Lineage: Eukaryota; Metazoa; Chordata; Actinopteri; Gadiformes; Merlucciidae
Source: the annotation of a GenBank genome assembly